This is a long non-coding RNA of Catharus ustulatus (Swainson's thrush), 688 nucleotides long. RefSeq lists it as uncharacterized. The transcript is spliced from 4 exons. Lineage: Eukaryota; Metazoa; Chordata; Aves; Passeriformes; Turdidae. The record is from RefSeq and is a predicted model, not a curated record.
AUCGCGCUUUGCUGGUUUCCUCAGCAACCAGCGCCAGCAAAGGUGGGAUGGCUUCAGCAGCCAUGGCUGAGGUUCUCCCUGCAGGGAAAUAAAGUGGUUUGGUGUUAUGACAGCUAAUCAUCAUCCUUUUGGACUGACACGUUCCGUUCCCUGUCCAGCUACAGCUCUGAACAGCCCUGGAGGUGCAGUGCAGAGGCAGAACUUGCUCUUCUUUCAGAGAUCAAGUUCACACUGCUUCCACUGGUGCCAAGAUGAGCACAAUUGACUGGUGAGGACUGAUAAAAGCUCCUGAAAAAAAGAAUACAGUACUACAGUAUCACACUAGCUUUCUUCCCAUGGAGGCUCUGAAGGAAUAGGAAUGCAUGGAUCCAUCCCAAAGCUGAGGAUAAGCAAGGACUGCUGUGAGAAGUUUCCUGCACAGGAAAGCCAAGGAAGAGUAAACUGCUGAUAUCAAGCAAAACCCUCAGUUACCUGCAGGGUGAGAGAAGAUAAAAGGGUGAAAUCCUGGCAGAAAGUGAAUUUUCAUCCUAAAUGAUGAAGCCAAAUGAGUUCAGGCUGAUACCACCUGAUAGAAGGUGCAUUCACGAUUUUUUCCCCACCAUCUCACAGUCACUGAUACAAAGAAACAAUAUAUGAGAUAGAUAUAAAUAUCAAAUCCCAAUCAUCUGUACAUGAUACUAUUUUAAAC